UUAAGUGAAUAAGGGCGUACGGUGGAUGCCUAGGCACUUGGAACUGAAGAAGGACGCAACAAACGGCGAAACGCGACGGGGAGUGGUACGUACACAAAGAUCCGUCGAUAUCCGAAUGGGGAAACCCGGCAGCAGUAAUGAGCUGUCACCCAUGAGUGAAUACAUAGCUCAUGAGGGAGGUACCCGGAGAACUGAAACAUCUAAGUAUCCGGAGGAAAAGAAAAUAAGAAUGAUUCCGUAAGUAGCGGCGAGCGAACGCGGAGGAGCCCAAACCAGAUCUUGAUCUGGGGUUGUAGGACCACGAAAUGGCAAGAGCAUGGCUAAGAGAACGGCAUUGAAAGGCCGACCGGAGAGGGUGCAAGUCCCGUAACUGAAAGCAAUGUGAAGCCUAGUGGUAUCCUGAGUACGGCGAGACACGAGAAAUCUUGUCGGAAGCAGGCGGGACCAUCCGUCAAGGCUAAAUAUACCCAAGUGACCGAUAGUGAACCAGUACCGUGAGGGAAAGGUGAAAAGAACCGCGGGAGCGGAGUGAAAUAGAACCUGAAACCGUAUGCUUACAAGAAGUCAGAGCCCGUUAAAGGGUGAUGGCGUGCCUUUUGUAGAAUGAACCGGCGAGUUACGUUAUCGUGCGAGGUUAAGUAGAAGAUACGGAGCCGAAGCGAAAGCGAGUCUUAAUAGGGCGACAGUACGAUGAUGUAGACCCGAAACCGUGUGAUCUAGCCAUGACCAGGUUGAAGUUCAGGUGAAACUGAAUGGAGGACCGAACCGACCCCCGUUGAAAAGUUGGCGGAUGAGUUGUGGCUAGGGGAGAAAUUCCAAUCGAACACGGAUAUAGCUGGUUCUCCCCGAAAUAGCUUUAGGGCUAGCGUCGAGGCAGAGUCGCAUGGAGGUAGAGCACUGAAUGUACGAUGGCCCCAUCCCGGGGUACUGAGUAUAAUCAAACUCCGAAUGCCAUGCAGACGUACUCGGCAGUCAGACUGUGGGUGAUAAGGUCCAUGGUCAAAAGGGAAACAGCCCAGACCGCCAGUUAAGGUCCCAAAAUGUAUGCUAAGUGGAAAAGGAUGUGGGGAUGCACAGACAACUAGGAGGUUGGCUCAGAAGCAGCCAUCCUUCAAAGAGUGCGUAACAGCUCACUAGUCGAGUGACCCUGCGCCGAAAAUGUACCGGGGCUAAGCAUACUACCGAAGCUGCGGAUUCAACUUUAGAGUUGAGUGGUAGGGGAGCGUUGCAUGCACGUAGAAGCCGUACCGUAAGGAGCGGUGGAGAGCAUGGAAGAGAGAAUGCCGGUGUGAGUAGCGAGAUGUAGGUGAGAAUCCUACACACCGAUAGCCCAAGGAUUCCAGGGGAAGGUUCGUCCGCCCUGGGUAAGUCGGGACCUAACGCGAGGCCGAAAGGCGUAGUGGAUGGAAAACAGGCAGAUAUUCCUGUACCCGCGAUGGAAAUGAAGGAAUGACGGAGAAGGCUAGUGUGAGCCACUGAACGGAUUGUGGUCAAAGCAUAUAGCAGGCUGACAGUGAAAUGCGUCAGCGGGAUGUAAGAUGUGACAGGUAAGGGAACGUCCUUGGACAAGUACUGAAGCACAUGAUGCCAGCUUCCAAGAAAAGUUUCUAGUGAUAAUUCCAUAGCGGCCCGUACCAAAACCGACACAGGUGGGCAAGGAGAGAAUCCUGAGGUGAGCGAGAGAACUGUUGCCAAGGAACUCGGCAAAAUGACUCCGUAAGUUAGCGAUAAGGAGUGCUCUUGUAAAAGAGAGCCGCAGUGAAGAGGCCCAAGCGACUGUUUAACUAAAACACAGCUCUCUGCAAAGUCGCAAGACGAAGUAUAGGGGGUGACGCCUGCCCGGUGCUGGAAGGUUAAGAGGAUUUGUCAUCCGCAAGGAGAAGCAAUGAAUUGAAGCCCCAGUGAACGGCGGCCGUAACUAUAACGGUCCUAAGGUAGCGAAAUUCCUUGUCAGGUAAG
Molecule: ribosomal RNA, 1959 nt
Filed under: human gut metagenome
Description: bacterial LSU rRNA
Rfam family: Bacterial large subunit ribosomal RNA
Source: RNAcentral